Molecule: non-coding RNA, 137 nt
Filed under: Candidatus Giovannonibacteria bacterium GW2011_GWB1_47_6b
Lineage: Bacteria; Candidatus Giovannoniibacteriota
Source: RNAcentral
UGCUGGAACGUCUGUGGAUAAAAUCCUUCAGAGUCGGCAUUACUAUGGUAUAAUACGACCAUAGUGAAAAUAUGACCGAUGCAGAUAAUCAGCAGGAAAGGCUAGAAAUUAGUAAUUGGAUAACCGGUUUCACCGAC